RNAcentral lists this ribosomal RNA (225 nucleotides) under uncultured bacterium. Its description in RNAcentral is "partial 16S ribosomal RNA". It matches the Rfam family "Bacterial small subunit ribosomal RNA", at positions 524 to 748 of the family's 1533-position model. The record is from RNAcentral.
UACGAAGGGGGCUAGCGUUGUUCGGAUUUACUGGGCGUAAAGCGCACGUAGGCGGAUCGUUAAGUCGGGGGUGAAAUCCUGGAGCUCAACUCCAGAACUGCCUUCGAUACUGGCGAUCUUGAGUCCGGAAGAGGUGAGUGGAACUCCUAGUGUAGAGGUGGAAUUCGUAGAUAUUCGGAAGAACACCAGCGGCGAAGGCGACUCACUGGCCCAUUACUGACGCUC